This 468-nucleotide ribosomal RNA is filed under the name Klebsiella pneumoniae. RNAcentral's name for it is "partial 23S ribosomal RNA". It matches the Rfam family "Bacterial large subunit ribosomal RNA", at positions 2153 to 2620 of the family's 2925-position model. Lineage: Bacteria; Pseudomonadati; Pseudomonadota; Gammaproteobacteria; Enterobacterales; Enterobacteriaceae. The record is from RNAcentral.
GGCUUUGAAGCGUGGACGCCAGUCUGCGUGGAGCCAACCUUGAAAUACCACCCUUUAAUGUUUGAUGUUCUAACGUUGGCCCCUGACCGGGGUUGCGGACAGUGUCUGGUGGGGAGUUUGACUGGGGCGGUCUCCUCCCAAAGCGUAACGGAGGAGCACGAAGGUUAGCUAAUCCUGGUCGGACAUCAGGAGGUUAGUGCAAUGGCAUAAGCUAGCUUGACUGCGAGCGUGACGGCGCGAGCAGGUGCGAAAGCAGGUCAUAGUGAUCCGGUGGUUCUGAAUGGAAGGGCCAUCGCUCAACGGAUAAAAGGUACUCCGGGGAUAACAGGCUGAUACCGCCCAAGAGUUCAUAUCGACGGCGGUGUUUGGCACCUCGAUGUCGGCUCAUCACAUCCUGGGGCUGAAGUAGGUCCCAAGGGUAUGGCUGUUCGCCAUUUAAAGUGGUACGCGAGCUGGGUUUAGAACGUC